This is a long non-coding RNA of Pieris brassicae (large cabbage white), 787 nucleotides long. RefSeq lists it as uncharacterized. The record is from RefSeq and is a predicted model, not a curated record. The transcript is spliced from 3 exons. Lineage: Eukaryota; Metazoa; Arthropoda; Insecta; Lepidoptera; Pieridae.
CAAGAAAUCUCAGAAAUGUAUAGUUACAUACACAAACUUAUAUAGAAAAUUUAUGACUUGUGUAUGUAUUUCAUAAAACCAAUCGAAAAAUAUACGGCAUUUUUCAUGCAAAAUUCCCAAUGCGAAUUUGAUUUAAAUAAACCGAUACGUUUAGCGAAGCACAUGUUGCAACAAUAUUUCACAGAAGCGAUAUGCUGUGUUUACAUUAUUUUAUUUUCAAUAGAGGAUGUCUCAACAUUUCCUUCGAUUAUGACUUAAUAUGUUGUAAUAAAAAUAAUAUAUCAAAUGAAAUUUCGAUGCCAAAUAGUUCAAUGUGCUUGGGAGCAAAACAUUAUGAAACUAAACUAAACUUAACAACCUUAUUAAGGAACGAGGAGUGGAGCUCAGAAGUUUCUUCGCUUUGCUUCACGGAACGACCUCACUACUCCAAGGAUUUCGGUACUUUGGGAAGCCACGGCCACGCAUUCCAGGACUACGUGAGUGACAGAUGUGCUGAAACAGCCUCUGCACAAGGUAUUGUGUGUAGCGCCAUGGAACCUAACCUUGCUCUUCGAUUUUGUAGUUUUGUAUGAAAAAAGUGUGUUCCUUGUUUUCUGUACCUAAAAUACACCUUUAGCUGUCCCAUAAUGAUGGUAUAUUAAAAAAGAGAUAGAACUAGAGUCAAUAUAUCUCCAAGUUUAAAAAUAUACAAUAUUCAUACCGUAUUCGGCAACUAAAAUAUUUGUAUUCUAAAACGUCCCAGGUGUGUAUAAAAUAUUCAAUAAUAUUUUCAGACACCUUUGUUGUG